GGAUGAGCCCGCGGCCUAUCAGCUUGUUGGUGGGGUAAUGGCCCACCAAGGCGACGACGGGUAGCCGGCCUGAGAGGGCGACCGGCCACACUGGGACUGAGACACGGCCCAGACUCCUACGGGAGGCAGCAGUGGGGAAUAUUGCACAAUGGGCGAAAGCCUGAUGCAGCGACGCCGCGUGAGGGAUGACGGCCUUCGGGUUGUAAACCUCUUUCAGCAGGGAAGAAGCGAAAGUGACGGUACCUGCAGAAGAAGCGCCGGCUAACUACGUGCCAGCAGCCGCGGUAAUACGUAGGGCGCAAGCGUUGUCCGGAAUUAUUGGGCGUAAAGAGCUCGUAGGCGGCUUGUCACGUCGGGUGUGAAAGCCCGGGGCUUAACCCCGGGUCUGCAUCCGAUACGGGCAGGCUAGAGUGUGGUAGGGGAGAUCGGAAUUCCUGGUGUAGCGGUGAAAUGCGCAGAUAUCAGGAGGAACACCGGUGGCGAAGGCGGAUCUCUGGGCCAUUACUGACGCUGAGGAGCGAAAGCGUGGGGAGCGAACAGGAUUAGAUACCCUGGUAGUCCACGCCGUAAACGUUGGGAACUAGGUGUUGGCGACAUUCCACGUCGUCGGUGCCGCAGCUAACGCAUUAAGUUCCCCGC
Molecule: ribosomal RNA, 639 nt
Filed under: uncultured Streptomyces sp.
Lineage: Bacteria; Bacillati; Actinomycetota; Actinomycetes; Kitasatosporales; Streptomycetaceae
Description: bacterial SSU rRNA
Rfam family: Bacterial small subunit ribosomal RNA
Source: RNAcentral